UCGUAUUACAGAGGCGCGAGGGCUGUCGCUGACCUUUUCGAAGGUCGUGCACGCCCGAGCGCUCUCGCCCACAAUCCACCUCACCCCUUGUGCAUCACCGCGUGGGGUCUCCCUCUUGGCUUGGCCUCGAGGGAGGCUCGCGCUUUUUUCACAAACGCCCUUUUAGUUUAGAAUGUCAUUCAUUUGCGAUCACACGCAAUCAAUA
Molecule: unclassified non-coding RNA, 205 nt
Filed under: uncultured Russula
Lineage: Eukaryota; Fungi; Basidiomycota; Agaricomycetes; Russulales; Russulaceae
Description: sequence contains ITS1
Source: RNAcentral